RNAcentral lists this ribosomal RNA (433 nucleotides) under uncultured bacterium. RNAcentral's name for it is "partial 16S ribosomal RNA". It matches the Rfam family "Bacterial small subunit ribosomal RNA", at positions 29 to 507 of the family's 1533-position model. The record is from RNAcentral.
AACGAACGCUGGCGGCAUGCCUAACACAUGCAAGUCGAACGAGACCUUCGGGUCUAGUUGCGCACGGGUGCGUAACGCGUGGGAACCUGCCCUUAGGUUCGGAAUAACUCCCCGAAAGGGGUGCUAAUACCGGAUAAUGUCUUCGGACCAAAGAUUUAUCGCCUUUGGAUGGGCCCGCGUUGUAUUAGCUAGUUGGUAGGGUAAAAGCCUACCAAGGCGACGAUUCAUAGCUGGUCUGAGAGGAUGAUCAGCCACACUGGGACUGAGACACGGCCCAGACUCCUACGGGAGGCAGCAGUGGGGAAUAUUGGACAAUGGGCGAAAGCCUGAUCCAGCAAUGCCGCGUGAGUGAUGAAGGCCUUAGGGUUGUAAAGCUCUUUUACCCGGGAUGAUAAUGACAGUACCGGGAGAAUAAGCACCGGCUAACUCCGUG